RNAcentral lists this transfer RNA (56 nucleotides) under Necator americanus (New World hookworm). RNAcentral's name for it is "transfer RNA-Asp". Lineage: Eukaryota; Metazoa; Nematoda; Chromadorea; Rhabditida; Ancylostomatidae. The record is from RNAcentral.
AAAGUUUUAGUAUAUGUAAGUAUGGUUUAUUGUCAAUAAACAGGUUUAUAACUUUA